This 274-nucleotide ribosomal RNA is filed under the name uncultured bacterium. Its description in RNAcentral is "partial 16S ribosomal RNA". It matches the Rfam family "Bacterial small subunit ribosomal RNA", at positions 523 to 796 of the family's 1533-position model. The record is from RNAcentral.
AUACGGAGGAUGCAAGCGUUACUCGGAAUCACUGGGCGUAAAGGACGCGUAGGCGGGAUGCCAAGUCUGAUGUGAAAUCCUAUGGCUCAACCAUAGAACUGCAUUGGAAACUGGUAACCUAGAGUAUGGGAGGGGGAGAUGGAAUUAGUGGUGUAGGGGUAAAAUCCGUAGAUAUCACUAGGAAUACCGAAAGCGAAGGCGAUCUCCUGGAACAUUACUGACGCUAAGGCGUGAAAGCGUGGGGAGCAAACAGGAUUAGAAACCCCGGUAGUCC